RNAcentral lists this ribosomal RNA (477 nucleotides) under uncultured bacterium. RNAcentral's name for it is "partial 16S ribosomal RNA". It matches the Rfam family "Bacterial small subunit ribosomal RNA", at positions 28 to 507 of the family's 1533-position model. The record is from RNAcentral.
GAUGAACGCUGGCGGCGUGCUUAACACAUGCAAGUCGAACGAGAAGUGGAGACGGAAACCUUCGGGCGGAAGACUUUAUUUCGAGUGGCGGACGGGUGAGUAACGCGUGGGUAACCUGCCUCAUACAGGGGGAUAACAGUUGGAAACGACUGUUAAUACCGCAUAAGACACAGCAACGCAUGGUGCGGGGGUAAAAACUCCGUUGGUAUGAGAUGGACCCGCGUUCGAUUAGCCAGUUGGCGGGGUAACGGCCCACCAAAGCGACGAUCGAUAGCCGAUCUGAGAGGAUGACCGGCCACAUUGGGACUGAGACACGGCCCAAAAUCCUACGGGAGGCAGCAGUGGGGAAUAGUGCACAAUGGGGGAAACCCUGAUGCAGCGACGCCGCGUGAGUGAAGAAGUAUUUCGGUAUGUAAAGCUCUAUCAGCAGGGAAGAAAAUGACGGUACCUGAGUAAGAAGCCCCGGCUAACUACGUG